Molecule: ribosomal RNA, 446 nt
Filed under: uncultured bacterium
Lineage: Bacteria
Description: partial 16S ribosomal RNA
Rfam family: Bacterial small subunit ribosomal RNA
Source: RNAcentral
CCUACGGGAGGCUGCAGUCGAGAAUCAUUCACAAUGGGGGAAACCCUGAUGGGGCGACGCCGCGUGGGGGAAUGAAGGUCUUCGGAUUGUAAACCCCUGUCAUGUGGGAGCAAAUUAAAAAGAUAGUACCACAAGAGGAAGAGACGGCUAACUCUGUGCCAGCAGCCGCGGUAAUACAGAGGUCUCAAGCGUUGUUCGGAAUCACUGGGCGUAAAGCGUGCGUAGGCUGUUUCGUAAGUCGUGUGUGAAAGGCGCGGGCUCAACCCGCGGACGGCACAUGAUACUGCGAGACUAGAGUAAUGGAGGGGGACCCGGAAUUCUCGGUGUAGCAGUGAAAUGCGUAGAUAUCGAGAGGAACACUCGUGGCGAAGGCGGGUUCCUGGACAUUAACUGACGCUGAGGCACGAAGGCCAGGGGAGCGAAAAGGAUUAGAUACCCUAGUAGUC